AACGCACGAGACCUGCGGACCUGCGGAGGGAUCAUUACCGAGUUUACAACUCCCAAACCCCUGUGAACUUAUACCUUUACUGUUGCUUCGGCGGGUCAUUGCCCCGGGGAAACAGGUGCCGCCAGGUCCCUGCCCCCCCGGAAACAGGCGCCCGCCGGGGGACUCAAACUCUUCUGUAUUUUUUGUUUACUGUAUACUGUCUGAGUAAAAAUUCAUAAUGAAUCAAAACUUUUAACAAUG
Molecule: unclassified non-coding RNA, 240 nt
Filed under: soil metagenome
Description: partial contains 5.8S ribosomal RNA, internal transcribed spacer 2, and large subunit ribosomal RNA
Source: RNAcentral